Cebus imitator (Panamanian white-faced capuchin) is the source of this 108-nucleotide small nuclear RNA. The record is from Ensembl. Lineage: Eukaryota; Metazoa; Chordata; Mammalia; Primates; Cebidae.
GUGCUUGCUUUUGGCAGCACUUAUGCUAAAUUUGGAAUGAUACAGAGAAAACUAGCAUGGCCACUGUACAAGGAUGACACAUAAAUUUGUGAAGUAGUCUAUAUUUUU